UCGUCACACUAUCAUUAACUGAAUCCAUAGGUUAAUGAGGCGAACCGGGGGAACUGAAACAUCUAAGUACCCCGAGGAAAAGAAAUCAACCGAGAUUCCCCCAGUAGCGGCGAGCGAACGGGGAGGAGCCCAGAGCCUGAAUCAGCAUGUGUGUUAGUGGAAGCGUCUGGAAAGGCGCGCGAUACAGGGUGACAGCCCCGUACACAAAAGCGCAUGUGCUGUGAGCUCGAUGAGUAGGGCGGGACACGUGGUAUCCUGUCUGAAUAUGGGGGGACCAUCCUCCAAGGCUAAAUACUCCUGACUGACCGAUAGUGAACCAGUACCGUGAGGGAAAGGCGAAAAGAACCCCGGCGAGGGGAGUGAAAAAGAACCUGAAACCGUGUACGUACAAGCAGUGGGAGCACAGGUUUACCUGUGUGACUGCGUACCUUUUGUAUAAUGGGUCAGCGACUUAUAUUCUGUAGCAAGGUUAACCGAAUAGGGGAGCCGGAGGGAAACCGAGUCUUAAUUGGGCGUUAAGUUGCAGGGUAUAGACCCGAAACCCGGUGAUCUAGCCAUGGGCAGGUUGAAGGUUGGGUAACACUAACUGGAGGACCGAACCGACUAAUGUUGAAAAAUUAGCGGAUGACCUGUGGCUGGGGGUGAAAGGCCAAUCAAACCGGGAGAUAGCUGGUUCUCCCCGAAAGCUAUUUAGGUAGCGCCUCGUGAAUUCAUCUCCGGGGGUAGAGCACUGUUUCGGCUAGGGGGCCAUCCCGGCUUACCAACCCGAUGCAAACUGCGAAUACCGGAGAAUGUUAUCACGGGAGACACACGGCGGGUGCUAACGUCCGUCGUGAAGAGGGAAACAACCCAGACCGCCAGCUAAGGUCCCAAAGUCAUGGUUAAGUGGGAAACGAUGUGGGAAGGCCCAGACAGCCAGGAUGUUGGCUUAGAAGCAGCCAUCAUU
Molecule: ribosomal RNA, 946 nt
Filed under: Salmonella enterica subsp. enterica
Lineage: Bacteria; Pseudomonadati; Pseudomonadota; Gammaproteobacteria; Enterobacterales; Enterobacteriaceae
Description: partial 23S ribosomal RNA
Rfam family: Bacterial large subunit ribosomal RNA
Source: RNAcentral